AAAUUGAACCAAAGAUAAAAAAAAAGAAGCAAGAAGCGGAGAGCGUCCAAAAAAAAUUGAAUGUGUUGGUUUUUUUUUUUUUUUUUUUUUUUUUUUUU
RNAcentral lists this non-coding RNA (98 nucleotides) under uncultured Tubulinea. Lineage: Eukaryota; Tubulinea. The record is from RNAcentral.